Molecule: ribosomal RNA, 629 nt
Filed under: uncultured Bacteroides sp.
Lineage: Bacteria; Pseudomonadati; Bacteroidota; Bacteroidia; Bacteroidales; Bacteroidaceae
Description: bacterial SSU rRNA
Rfam family: Bacterial small subunit ribosomal RNA
Source: RNAcentral
GUCGAGGGGCAGCGGGAUUUUAGCUUGCUAAGUUUGCUGGCGACCGGCGCACGGGUGAGUAACACGUAUCCAACCUUCCGUUUACUCGGGGAUAGCCUUUCGAAAGAAAGAUUAAUACCCGAUGGUAUGGUAAGAUCACAUGGUAUUUACAUUAAAGAUUCAUCGGUAAAGGAUGGGGAUGCGUUCCAUUAGGUAGUUGGCGGGGUAACGGCCCACCAAGCCUACGAUGGAUAGGGGUUCUGAGAGGAAGGUCCCCCACAUUGGAACUGAGACACGGUCCAAACUCCUACGGGAGGCAGCAGUGAGGAAUAUUGGUCAAUGGGCGAGAGCCUGAACCAGCCAAGUAGCGUGAAGGAUGACUGCCCUAUGGGUUGUAAACUUCUUUUAUAAGGGAAUAAAGGGCUCCACGUGUGGUGUUUUGCAUGUACCUUAUGAAUAAGCAUCGGCUAACUCCGUGCCAGCAGCCGCGGUAAUACGGAGGAUGCGAGCGUUAUCCGGAUUUAUUGGGUUUAAAGGGAGCGCAGACGGGCGUUUAAGUCAGUUGUGAAAUGUUGCGGCUCAACCGUAGAAUUGCAGUUGAAACUGGAGGUCUUGAGUGCGGCAGAGGCAGGCGGAAUUCGUGUUGAGCG